Molecule: RNA transcript, 3179 nt
Organism: Acanthopagrus latus (yellowfin seabream)
Lineage: Eukaryota; Metazoa; Chordata; Actinopteri; Spariformes; Sparidae
Gene: prkag3b
Gene name: protein kinase, AMP-activated, gamma 3b non-catalytic subunit
Exons: 14
Source: RefSeq, a predicted model, not a curated record
GUACGUUUCCCCUCCCACUCUCCGUCCUCUCCCUCUCCCUCUCUCUGUAAAUGCCACAGGCCUCUCACCCUUCAGUCCAGAUUUAGACCUCAGUCUUUCCCAGACAUUCAGACCCAGCUGUCCGAAGCUGACUGGAGGGGCACAGACUCCCUCGUCUCCUCUCUCUUUUCUGGCUAGUACCUUUGUCUUUCUGUUCUCUUCUUCUCUGCCCCUCCUUGCCAUGCCUGGACUCUGUCAUCACUUCUUUAUCUGACAUGGUAACAGAGCCUGCCAGAUGUCUGAGCUGGACAGGGGGACGAGGCUUGUAGUCCAGGAUUUUCUGGUUCCACAGAGGCAGACCUGCUGCUCCUCUUCGCAAGCCAUGGAGCCUCUUGCAGAGGUCCCAUUAUUUGAGAUGGACCAGGAAGAGGAUGAGGAAGAUGUUCUCUCGAUGAAGAGCAUAGGAGACUGUACGUUUGCGACACAUGAUCUCACGCCCCAUGCAGGCACAGACCCUGACACCUUCAUAUACACAAACUUCAUGAAGAAUCACUGCUGCUACGAUGCAAUUCCCACCAGCUCCAAACUGAUCAUUUUUGACACAACAUUACAGGUGAAGAAGGCUUUCUUUGCCCUGGUGGCUAAUGGUGUGAGGGCAGCACCGCUGUGGGACAACAAGCUUAAGUGUUUUGUGGGUAUGCUGACCAUCACUGACUUCAUCAACAUUCUCCAUCGUUAUUACAAGUCUCCUCUGGUUCAGAUCUAUGAGCUGGAAGAACACAAGAUAGAGACAUGGAGAGAGAUCUAUCUGCAGUACUCUGUUAACAGACUGAUUAGCAUCACCCCUGACUGCAGUUUAUUUGAUGCCAUCUACUCCUUAUUGAAGAAUAAGAUACACCGGCUGCCAGUCAUAGACCCGGUAUCAGGAAAUGUCCUCCACAUUCUCACUCACAAACGCAUCCUCAAGUUCCUCCACAUCUUUGGGUCUAUGUUUCCUAAACCCAGGUUUCUUCAAAAGCGGAUCAAUGAAGUGGCAAUUGGUACCUUCAGACAGAUUGCGACAGUCCAGGAAUCAGCCUCUGUCUAUGAUGCGCUGACCAUUUUUGUUGAGAGGAGAGUGUCCGCUCUGCCUGUAGUCAAUGAGCAAGGCAAAGUGAUGGCGCUGUACUCCAGGUUUGAUGUCAUUAAUCUCGCCGCCCAGAAAAACUACAACAACCUGAACAUGACGAUGCGGGAGGCCAUUGCCUCCAGAGCCUGCUGUGUGGAGGGUGUCCUCAAAUGUUACCCUCAUGAAACACUGGAGACCAUCAUCGAUCGCAUUGCAAAGGCUGAGGUACAUCGUUUGGUUCUGGUGGACAGUAACGAUGUGGUGAGAGGGAUUGUCUCUCUGUCUGACCUGUUACAAGCCCUGGUUCUCAGUCCUGCAGGCGAACUGUGCUCCCUCCUCUCCUGUGAAGGCUCAUGUUCCUACCGAACAAACUCUUCUUCAUCCUCCUGAAGACAAUGAAGAUCUUUCUCCUCUUCCUGUAAAAUCAGAUUUUAACCCUGUCUGAGCGUUUUGGCUAUCCGUCUUGUACUUCCAAGAUCAGCCUCUGAAUUACUUCCUUUUACUCGAAUGAAAAUCUUCUUCUGGAACGCAAUGCUCCUUCAACAUCCUUACAUUCUCCCUGAAACUCCGAUUUUAAGCAUUGAACAGAAUGUUCCCAGCACCUGCUCACGCCUGCUCCACCCUGCUCCAGGAAAAUAAACAGAAGUCCUCUCAAAACCCUCCACCCAGCCAAAAACUAGCCACUAUUGAAUAUUAAAUCAUCCAAUCAAAGUUCAAAACCAGUUUACUAAAAUCUUUUGAUCCCACAUACCAACCAGUAUCCUUAUCAUCCAAGUUCUGACACUAGUCACCCACACCUACUCCCAAACAUGCCUCUUUCAUCAGUCAGCCACUGUCUUCAUGCUGCGGUUCCUCCUAUGAAACCACACUGCCAGCAGCACCUCUUAGCCAACACUUACCAGAUAUUUAUCAGAGAUCAUGCUUUCAAGACUGGAGAAAACAAGAUGGAGACUGAUCAUGUUUAACAUGACUUUAAAGAGGUGGUCACAAUGUUUGCAGAGCAGGGUUUUGGCUGCAGAAGACAAAUAUGGAAAGAGAAAGCAAUAAUAUGCACACUUUACCCUUCGCUAUGAGUACGAAUAAUGUGCUCAGUGAUCCCCAAUAGACAACUCUGACUGUGCUGGAAAGCUACCAGUGUGGAACUUUAUCAUUGGUGUGGCCGGAGAACAAUGUCAAACUGAUGAUGCACAUCCAAAGACUUUACCACUGACCUUGACCUGUGAAACAUCAAAUCUACAUUUAUGUUUCAAGUUGUGUUACUUGUGAUUUAAGUUGUUUGUACAACAAUAUGACAAAAAGUGAUGUGAUAUUUAAUUGUCUGUACUUAAAGCUCCAGUAUGUAGGCUUUAGUGGCAUCCAGUGAUGUAGUUGCAGAUUGCAACCAACUGAACAUCCCUCAUCUCACCCUGCCCUACAGUGUACUUUCUGGAGGUCCUAAAUGCUAACUUCUUCAAAGAAGGGAUCUCAAUGCUCCAUGACAAUUAGACUAAGUCUAUAAACAUAGAGUCUAUAAAGUGACAAUUUUGAACAAUAAAUGCCACUCCUUCUACCGUGGGGCCAUUCAGCUAUCAAUCACCCCUCGUCAAAGUCUCAUUUGAAGGAAACUAUAACAGAAAAUUUUAUUUUCCUAUUUUGGGUGUAAGAACACCAAUGAAAACAUGACUAUAAAUACUGUCAUUUCUGCCAAUAGAAUCUCCGAAAUCCUAUACAAUGAACCUUUAAUUUUCUGGUCUUAGAAUUAUUACAAAUUGGUUAUUCACGUAUUGAAAAUAUUGUAUUGUAUCAUUAUUAUUUUGUAAAUGCACUUGUGCUAUAGUCAGAAUAAAUGUGUUAACCUGAAAUAAAGUGAUAACUACAAAACUUGCUUAUAGAGAUGCUAUGUUGUAUUUUGCAGUAAGGCAUUCAGAAGAGGAUAUCAUGCAGUAGUAAUCUAGGACAGACUCUGUAUGAAUAUAAUCACGUUACAUUGUAGCUCAAUAGUUGAAUCAAGUUGAAUGAAGAUUCAAUGUACAACACAGGGUUGCAUAACAUAAUGGAAGUUUGUGAUUCUUUCAUGCUACACUAAUAGCAUGCAGUGCAUUGUAUACAAUUA